CCGACGGGUGAGUAACACGUAUCCAACCUGCCGUCUACUCUUGGACAGCCUUCUGAAAGGAAGAUUAAUACAAGAUGGCAUCAUGAGUUCACAUGUUCACAUGAUUAAAGGUAUUCCGGUAGACGAUGGGGAUGCGUUCCAUUAGAUAGUAGGCGGGGUAACGGCCCACCUAGUCUUCGAUGGAUAGGGGUUCUGAGAGGAAGGUCCCCCACAUUGGAACUGAGACACGGUCCAA
Molecule: ribosomal RNA, 235 nt
Filed under: uncultured bacterium
Lineage: Bacteria
Description: partial 16S ribosomal RNA
Rfam family: Bacterial small subunit ribosomal RNA
Source: RNAcentral